AGGUUACUGCUAUCGGUGUUCGCCUAAGCCAUGCGAGUCAUAUGUUCGUAAGAACAUGGCGUACUGCUCAGUAACACGUGGAUAACCUGCCCUUGGGCCGGCAUAACCCCGGGAAACUGGGGAUAAUUCCGGAUAACGCACAUAUGCUGGAAUGCUUUAUGCGUAAAAUGGAUUCGUCUGCCCAAGGAUGGGUCUGCGGCCUAUCAGGUAGUAGUGGGUGUAAUGUACCUACUAGCCUACGACGGGUACGGGUUGUGAGAGCAAGAGCCCGGAGAUGGAUUCUGAGACAUGAAUCCAGGCCCUACGGGGCGCAGCAGGCGCGAAAACUUUACAAUGCGGGAAACCGUGAUAAGGGGACACCGAGUGCCAGCAUCCUAUGCUGGCUGUCCGGGUGUGUAAAAUACACCUGUUAGCAAGGGCCGGGCAAGACCGGUGCCAGCCGCCGCGGUAACACCGGCGGCCCGAGUGGUGAUCGUGAUUAUUGGGUCUAAAGGGUCCGUAGCCGGUUUGGUCAGUCCUCCGGGAAAUCUGACAGCUUAACUGUUAGGCUUUCGGAGGAUACUGCCAGACUUGGAACCGGGAGAGGUAAGAGGUACUACAGGGGUAGGAGUGAAAUCUUGUAAUCCCUGUGGGACCACCUGUGGCGAAGGCGUCUUACCAGAACGGGUUCGACGGUGAGGGACGAAAGCUGGGGGCACGAACCGGAUUAGAUACCCGGGUAGUCCCAGCCGUAAACGAUGCUCGCUAGGUGUCAGGCAUGGCGCGACCGUGUCUGGUGCCGCAGGGAAGCCGUGAAGCGAGCCACCUGGGAAGUACGGCCGCAAGGCUGAAACUUAA
Molecule: ribosomal RNA, 837 nt
Filed under: uncultured archaeon
Lineage: Archaea
Description: bacterial SSU rRNA
Rfam family: Archaeal small subunit ribosomal RNA
Source: RNAcentral